GGUGAAGCUGCUCCAGAAAAUGUUUACCCGUGCAGAGUGUGCGGCAAGAUCUACUCGAGAAAAUCCUCCAUGUACACGCAUCUCCGCCUUUGCGGAAAGGAACCGAAAUUCAACUGCGUCCUUUGCGGCAGAAGGUUCAACUCACUUGCAGAAGGUGUGGUUCUGUUUUCAAUGCGGGAAACGUUAUCAAUGGCGUGGUUCCUUGAAGAGUCAUAUCCGGGUGGAAUGUGGAAAAGAACCUACAUUCACAUGUCCAAUUUGUGGCAGAAAAUUCAAGCAUAAGCAUCGAUGGCAAUCUCAUGCAAAAUCCAUGCAUCAAAUUAAUUUAUAACGAUAAUAAUUCCAAACGUUUCGAUGUUAUCGUGAAAACAAACGACUCAUGACUUCCAUCAUCAACUUUAUCACAAGUUGUAUUGUAACGAGUAUCAUAGCAAUGAGUAUGAUAAUAAAAAGUUUCGUUGACAAAGA
Apis cerana (Asiatic honeybee) is the source of this 468-nucleotide long non-coding RNA. RefSeq lists it as uncharacterized. NCBI's taxonomy places the organism in Eukaryota, Metazoa, Arthropoda, Insecta, Hymenoptera, Apidae. The record is from RefSeq and is a predicted model, not a curated record.